GGGGACGAGGAGCUGCGGGGGGCGGGGGCGCGGAGCCGCCGGGACCCGGGGGGAAGGGGGUGCCCACACGCCCGGCCCCUCUGCAGCUUCCAUCGCGUCACAUCGCGUCGCCCUCGGGACCCAGCAUAAUGGACGUCUUCUCAGCCUGUGGUGCGACCACCCACAGGGUUGGCGUACGUUACUCCAUCUCUACCGACCCGUGCACGCGCCGUGGAAUCCGGGACCUUCUGUUUCCGGAUCCCUGGAAACUUCUGCCCACGUUCCUCCCUAUGGUCUUCAUCCCCGCAGGCCAUGGCUUGGUUGUGUUUGCUUGGAGACUGGCUCCUGUGCUCGCUCUGGCUUCGUGGAAGUUGUCGUUUCCUCCUCCCGACAUCCCUCUGCGUGUCAGACACCUGUCACCGUGAUAAAAGUCGGUGGGCUCAGUUCACGACUGCUGAAAUUGGGGUGCCGUUUCCAGAGGGUCUCUGAUACAGGGGUUUUCUGGCUUGUGGGCAGACUGAGGGACUUACCUUGUACCAGGCCAUUUUGAUUUUCUAGUGUUUUCUUUUCCCUCCAGUUCCCCUGAAGGGCUUCCUUAGGGAAGGGCUCCAAGCCUUUUCGUUGCUCAGCAAGGAGCAUGUCGACCAUCCCAACUGUGCAGGCCGGGCCCCGCUCCCGCCGCCGCGCGCAGGUCAGGAGGGGCGAUCCGCGGCCCGUCUUUCGCGCACGCGGGCUGUGGCCAGCAGCCCGGGCACGCGGGGUUGGAGAGAGCCGGCGACGAGCUAGAGUUAGUCACAAACGCGUAGUGGUUGGUUGAAAAGAUUGUUUACUUACACCCAAAGAUGGUAGUGGUGUAGGCUGGACAGGUUUCCAGGCACAGCUCCCACUUAGAUCCUCGCUAGAGGACCAUGACAAAUUCAGUUGCUCCCAUGGAGUUGUUCAGGCUCCGUGGGUCCGGUUCGGUUGGGUUCGAAGGGUUCCCCGGAGUUGAGGCUCCAUGGGUUCGAAGUUUACAGGAAAGGGAUAUGUCUGGGAUUGCGAUCAGCGACAGGGAGAGGCUAGAAGCGAAAGCUCCAUAGGUUUGGUUCUGUUGCCUGCUUAGGGAAGGCGCGUUGGGUCCGCAGCGCUUGGAGAUCUUCACACAGAGUUCUCUCUCUCCCUCCUCCUUUUUCGCCCUCUCCAACUUGGGCGGAAACUACCCAAGCCUUUUAUACAGCUAGCAAGCCAAUAGCUAGCCGUCACGUGUGCCUACAUUUGGAACUGGCCAAUAAUGUGGCGCGAAUCCAAAUACAAAUGGCGGGAACUCCUUUGCAACGUGCAUCACUAGUGUGCAAAAGAAAUGCACCCUGCAAAGAAGCUGUAAUUUGGCAGGAAAUCCCUGUUGCACCAUUGUUCUCUCUCGCAGCAGAGAACUCUACCGUGCAAAGAAAGCUACAAACGGCGGGAAAAUAAUUUAGCGGUGCUGAAGCACACACACAAACAAAAACCACAACUUUGAGUUGUGACACCAACAUCAUGGGCAUGACUUAAUAUGCCGCGUUGCAUGAGGCCAGAAAGAGCUCUGGGUCUGUGAUGAUGAGGACCAUGGGGACAUCUCGAAUUUGGAGGACCUGCUGCCAGGUGAGUUGUGUCUGCCCCCUGCCCGGACUCCCCUCUCAGACAUGCUCCAUGCCCACAGUGACGGGGCCUGGAACCCACAGACCUGCCCGGCGCUGCCCUUCCAGGUUUCUGACCUUGAAUAGUUUAUGUAGUCAUGUGUCCAGGGAGGUGUUCCCAUGCACUGAAACUCCAAGGUGUGGAGAUGAGCAGCCUUUCCCUUUUCCUCCCCCUAACUACAACUGCUAGGGGACAUCCACAUAUAUUGUUUUGAUGUUCAGGCACAGGCCUGGUUUCCCUGGGAUAUCAUGGUCCUAAUUUUCCAUCUUCAUUUAGAUGAAAGAAUUAGCAAAAGUUGAUUCCUCCGCCCAAUUUAGCCAUGCCUCUAUUUCACCAUCUCCCGAGGCAUGAUGGGAUUUGUAGUCCCCCAUGGAAAUUGCAUGGUGGGACAAAGCUCUGUGUAGCUAUUAUUGUAGCACAAACGAGAGGCCUGGGGCUCUGCCUGGUGUCUCCUGGACAGGUUGAGCAGAACCAAGGAAGGGUUGAAUCCUGGUCUCGGGCUGCAUUGAAAGGCUUCAUGAAGUGGGUGGGAUUCACAAGCUUUCAUGUUGCAGGGGAAAGUGGAUCCCCCGCGGCUCAUGCCUUUGUCUUACGUCUCUGGGAUGUGAAUGUAACAGAGCUCGGGACUCAGCAGGGAGUGCACAUGCAGGUUCAUGCCCAGGCCUUUGUCCCAGGGCAGAUUCUGGUGACAUGCAGGCCACCUGGGCUUCAUCAGCAGAGGAAAGCCACAUAGGCCUGCUCCAAUCUCCAGACCUUUCCCUGGAUGUAGGAAGGAAGAACAGCCCUGUUCCUUCCAAGAAAUAGACCCACAGCAAUGAGUCUUCCCCUCUCAGAGCAGGUUAUGGAGUCAGGAGGGAUGAACCAUAUGGGCUUUUUGUACCAAGGAGAAGCAGCUGGUCCAGUGUAAGGCCAUUUUCCCCACACACCUCUGGCUUCUGGUGCAUCCCAAAAAUCUGCCAUGACACUGUCCUCCCUGGUACAUGAUGCUGCUCUCAGGACUGCCAGUGAUCACAGGUGAGUGCUGGAGAGCAGUGCCACCAAUGCACUUUGGCUUUCAGAGCAUGUCAACCCAGCCAGGUGGAGGCCUUAGCAUCAUCUCCCCCUGGACCCACUGGUGCUGUGGUUUCUGCUGAUUCUGCUUCUAGUCUCUUGGGCCCCUUAGAGCAGGAAGCCAUUUAGGUCCUGUCCCAGCACAUGUCCCAUGUGGGUUUCUCCCUCCAGGGUCUGAGAAGAUGGGGCUGACAGCUGCGCCCUAAAUCCUGAGCAUCUGGUUCUGACCUUCACCGAGCAGGGAACAUUAGCUCAGCACAGGGUCAUGCCCCUCCCUCACCCCCAGCACUUGUGGUUUGGCAGGAAGACCUUGUUCUCUUCAGAAGACUUACGUGCCAAGGAGGCACCUGGCUCCUGAGAAGUGAUGAGAAACUUGAGUCUGGAAGAAGGGUCUGCAAGCCUGGAGCCACCCUGGACUUCCUCUGGGGGUUUGGUCAAGGGGGAGUCCCUGAGACCUGAGGAAGACCAAUGGCUCCAGAGCCAGGGGAGACCCCAAAAACAGAGGAAGAGCGUAGCAAGGAAGCAGAUGCCAUCUUCCCUUGGGUGUGAGAGUGGAGAAAGGACAGAGUCCAGAGAGAGCCCUGGGCACAGGAAAGGAUUUGUGGAGAUGAAGCACCAUAAGACAAAGUUCCACCGGAAAGAGACCCUGCGGCUGAACAAAGCCAGUGGGAAGGGCCUGAAAGAAAAGCAGGAGGUCCCCACCAAGCCCAGGGGCAAAGCCCACCCCUGCCCUGAGUGCUGGAACACCUUUUGCUGCCCCUCACACCAGGCUCUGCCAUGGUGGUGUGCUGAAUGUGGGAAGAGCUUCACCCGUUCCUCCCACCUGGCUGUGCACUAGUGCAUCCAUACCAGGGAGAAACCACAUCAGUGCUCUGAGUGUGGGAAGAGCUUCAACACAGCCACACAGGGAAGUAUUACCAGAUUUGCCCAUUACUUUGGGGUGUGCUCAUUUCCGGGAUACGUUUCUAGGGUCUUGGUAAUUCUGUCAAUGUGUUGCUUUGCGUUACUUGUGUUUCUAUACGGAGCUGUAUAUCUCCCUUCUGCAAGUCCUCACCCUACUGGAGCUAUCUUGCAGGACUCAGUCUCAGUGGGGCUGGGUUCCUCCAGUCACCAAAUCAGUCAUACACACAAACACACACAAAUUAAUGUGACACGCCUGACCCAGCCGGGUUGAUCAGCAUGGACAGGCUGACACCCUCAUAUGCCAAGAAUCAGUUCAUCAGAGCAACACUAAACCGCAGUCAGACACAAGCGCAUGGGUAAACAGAAUCCCUCUGAAUCCGGCUGGGUGUCCAGCUGACACCCUCACAGGCCAGCAUUCAGUUCAUUAGGGCACGUCUGAGUCAAACUGGGUCAAUCAGCCUGUACAAGCUGAUCCCCUUAUGUGUUUCAAACUCAGCACAUCCCAAUCUUUGGCCUCUUGAUGAGCAGACCCCACAGUAUUUUUGGGCUUCACAGGGAUCUUUAGCUUAAGUAAAAGCAGCGUUGCUGCAGAGCAUGUAAGGAGGAGAAGUAGAGAAGGAAAAAUGUACCCAGUUACUACCAGUUUGACUAUAAAAGUUAUUUAUUGCUAAGUAUAUGAAAUAUAUAAUGGUACUAGUAAUAAUAGACAUGCAAAGGAAAAACAAAUACAAACAAUUACAAUACUACCCUGGUUUCACUAAGCAUUUGGGGAAACUUAGCUCAAGCUUAACCAAUACAGUUCAGGUUCAGCAAUGUAUGCCUAGAGAGAAAAGAGAGAGAGAGAGAGUGCUGAGAUCUCACCAGUCCAAGGUACUCGAGUCUCAAAGCUGACAGGUAAAGUUCCUAGCACAGUCCUUGUAGGGAGACGAUAUGUUCUUCCAGCAUCCCAAGAACAAUGGGAUGGUGUCAGCACAGGAGUUUUCUUGAAGCACACACACUGCUGCUUUUUACAUAUCUUUAUACCCUCAGUUCAGCUGCUUUGAAGCACUCUCAAUAGUGUAAAUCAUUGUCUUUUCUCUUGACAAGGGGUUAUCUGGUUUGGAACAUCUCAAGAAACUAAUUGAUAAUCAGGAAACACAUAAUGUUAGGGAGUACCCAGACACUUGGGAGCCAGCUUGAAAUUCCUAUGGAUAGCAGAUAUACUGACGGGAUAUCUCAUGGUUUUUUCAGAAACAAUAGAUAGCUUGCAGCAUCAGGAUUUUGGAUUUUACUUGUUGUGAACAAGCCUCAGCUUAGCAUGACUUUUCCAGAUCUUACUAUAGUCUUUUAACAGACUUAAGACAAUUAUUGGAGUGUUUAUAACCUUUUGUGGAGAGGACUUCCAUCAGUUGUCCUGGGAAAAGCAUGACAACACCUGUGGUCAGGGCUCCAACGGGCUGGACACUGCAAUGAACCAUUGUUCAGAUGUUGCCCAUACCCCCUCGGACUCAGUCUCUUGCCUCAGCAUUCCCUAACCUGGCAACCGGGUUUUAUAAAAUCAAGUUUAAAUAGGCCUCCCACAGUGGGACCGGGGAAUGUAUGGCCUGAGAUGCCUAGUAAACUGGGGGUGGGGAGAGUCCUUUGUAAAUCCAGAUUAGAACUGGUCUGAUAAAUGCUGAGCUGGGUGUGUGUGAACAUGGGUUGAUUAGCAUUUGGAGCACAGAUGCCCCAUCAUGCAGUGCUCCCCUGCUUCUCUGAUCCCAGAAUUCAUUGCAGUCUCUGCUUCAGGCUUUCUGUUCUCCAUCUCCCAUGUAAAUGAAUGGUCAUCUGGUUCCAUCUUGGCAGCAAAUGAGACCUAGGGUAGUUGUUUCACUCUUGUCACCCUGAUCUGGAGGGUCUUAGGUGUGUCUCCCACUGCAUCUUAAUCAGUUUAAUUUAUGGAGGUGGGGGAGGGAGGGAGGGGGGUGAGUCCUUUGUGAGUCAGACAGACUGUGUCCUGUGCCAGGGUUGCCCAAGAACACAGCUGAGACGUAACAGGAGAAGCCAUAUCAGUGCUCUGUCUGUGGGAAGAGCUUCACCAGUUCAUCCUACCUGGUCCGGCGCCAACAUAUCCACACUGGGCAGAAGCCAUAUUAGUGCUCUGAGUGUGGGAAGAACUUCACUAGUUCAUCCCCCCUGGCCUGUCACCAACGUAUCCUCACACGGGAGAAGUGCUGAGUGUGAAAAGAGCUCCUCCCAGUCCUUCAGUCUGGUCACAAAACAGUGUAUGCACACAGGGGAGUGACUACAUCAUUGCCCUGAGUGUGGGAAGACCUUCACUAUUUCGUCCCACUUGGCCCGGCACCAACACAUCCACAGAGGGGAGAAGCCAUAUCAGUGCCCUGUGUGUGGGAAGAGCUUCACCCAGUCCUCCAAUCUGGUUCGAUACCAGCACAUCCACAUGGGGGAGAAGCCAUAUCAGUGCUCUGACUGUGGGACUUGGCUCACCCGCUCCUUCAAUCUGGCUGGACACAAGUGGAUUGCCUUUAAAAGCAAUCCUAACCCAUUUCAAAGAUAAGGGAGUGGGGGUGUGUAUUCACCUGUGACUCAAAAAAUAAAAGCAACUUCAAAAAAAACCAUGCCCAAUUCCACUUAUUUUG
This is a long non-coding RNA of Alligator mississippiensis (American alligator), 6206 nucleotides long. RefSeq lists it as uncharacterized. NCBI's taxonomy places the organism in Eukaryota, Metazoa, Chordata, Crocodylia, Alligatoridae. The transcript has 3 exons. The record is from RefSeq and is a predicted model, not a curated record.